AUAUUCGUUUAUCAGUUAGGAAAAGGUUGAAGGGGUUGAUCUAUUAAGUUUCUUCCAUACUCAAACUGGUAUCCCCUAUUAUCAAUACCUCUUAAAAACAAGUUUAGGCAAUGUCGCUUAAGUUUGUACAAAACAAUAUUACAGCAAUAAUUACAAAAAAUUGAUACAAUAAUCAUCUGUUAUUUAUUUAUUUGCAUAAAUAUAAAACUUAAUUCCAAAGCAUUCUUUGCCAUAUACAAGAAUGUUGAGAGUUCCUAUAUUUUUGUCCUGCUCGUGUGCGGUCAAUUAGCCCCGGAAAACUCGCCCCGCUCAAUUGCCCACACUGAAGGAUAUCGCCCCGAAAUAUUCUCUCCUCCCUCAGCACCUUCUUGUUAAGGGAACUCCCGGUCAAAAGGGGCGAAUCUGCAAUGGAUAAACUUUUGGGGGCGAGUUAUUUUAUGGCGAUAUAAUCUUGAGGCCUAUUCACCGGAGCGAAUUGCGGGUAUAACAGUAGAUAUUUUAAGGUCGAGUUUCUUAAGACAACUCCUUUAAGAUCGAGUUUUCUUGGCGACGGAGUUUUCCGGGGGAAGGAUAAUUUUUUAAGGGGAAUUUGUAGGGGACGGAUUUUCGAGUGCAAAGACCGAAAGACCAAUUUAAUCGUAAAAAUGGAAGGGAACUCAAGAAUAUCUAUCACUACAAGGAUCAGGCAAUCCUUUGAUACUUCGGUAGCCUCCCAACAGAGUAAAAGGCUUUUCAGAUCAUUCUAGGUUAUUAUACGCUCUUACAUUUUCCAUCUACCCUUAGUUGAAAUAUAUGCAGAACGAAGAAUGAGACCCGCCCCUUCCAAUCCCAGGGAUGUUCGAAAUCGGAAGGGAACCUGCCAAUUUCUUCCCAUCGAAUUCACCAAGAUUCUGCCAUUGUUUUACAAUAGGUACAUAGCCUGGUUUAGAACCAUUACAAAUUCAUGAUAAAAGUCAAAACUGUAAGCUGGAAAUACCAGACGCUACCAAAUUUGAUAUAGCCCGAUAAAAGUGAAAAACAAUACGGUGUAUUUUUUACAUAUUUAUGAAUUCUGACUAUACGUAACCUGAAGUUGAUUACACUGCCCCAUUUGAAUUUAUUGUUAAGCUGUUAUUCUGCGACAUAAUUCAGACACUUUUUUACAUCACUCCAGAUAAAAACUUUUCUAGGCCACGACCUGUAUUAUCGCAACUUAACAAAUCGUUUUUGCGUACAUAGUCAUACUCAUUACAUAAGCAACUAUGGUAAGGUACGUGUCCUUCUUUGUGUGUCUCAUGCUGACAGUUGACUUGGGACUGUCCUUAGUAUGUUACACGUGCACUUCCACGAAUGUCCACUCUUGCUUGGUGGCGGCGAACAGGCAAACCGUGCGAUGUGGAAGGGCUGCUCCUGGUUACACAACGCUGUGUUCUUAUAUAGAAACAUAUGAUCCGUACAGAAGAAUGUAUGACGUACAGGCUGGGUGCCAGAUUGUUAGUGGGGUCGAUACAAUGACCACAAUACAACACAAGCUUUGCUCUAAACCUAAUCUUACAGUAAACAAGUGCAGACUUUGUGCCACCGAUUAUUGUAAUGGAGUGCAUUAAUGACAUCUUUUUUAAGAAUUUACUUGAGUGUUUUGUUGAUAAUAAAUUAUUUUGUUUAAAUAAUUCACGGUUUUAAUGUCGAAUAAACCAGUAAAGGGAG
Molecule: long non-coding RNA, 1686 nt
Organism: Photinus pyralis (common eastern firefly)
Lineage: Eukaryota; Metazoa; Arthropoda; Insecta; Coleoptera; Lampyridae
Exons: 4
Source: RefSeq, a predicted model, not a curated record